This 138-nucleotide ribosomal RNA is filed under the name uncultured bacterium 4-Org10-519. RNAcentral's name for it is "partial 16S ribosomal RNA". It matches the Rfam family "Bacterial small subunit ribosomal RNA", at positions 340 to 495 of the family's 1533-position model. The record is from RNAcentral.
UACGGGAGGCAGCAGUGGGGAAUAUUGGACAAUGGGGGAAASCCUGAUCCAGCUAUGCCGUGUGAGUGAAGAAGGCCUUAGGGUUGUAAAGAUAUUUCAUAUGUGAAGAUGAUGACGGUAACAUCAGAAGAAGCAYCG